Molecule: long non-coding RNA, 1197 nt
Filed under: Arabidopsis lyrata
Lineage: Eukaryota; Viridiplantae; Streptophyta; Magnoliopsida; Brassicales; Brassicaceae
Description: long non-coding RNA (ALYR_LNC001570)
Source: RNAcentral
GCGAUAAAGAACCAGAGAAAGCAAAUAGUUUCGUCAAGCGCGUGACCGGCGCGUGGCGGCUUCGCCGGCGUCGGUCUUUCUGUCUGUUUUUCUUUAUGGUUUUGCUCUCUGCUUAGUCUUUUUUGGGUUUUGGAGCCUUGGUUGUUGUUGGCAAGGUGAAGAAUUUUUGGAUCUUAGAUCUGAAAGGGUCAUGGCUGUGUUCUUCGAUUCGUCGAUGGCUUGUGGUGUGGAUGAAGUUCCUUUUCUCUAUGUUGAGAAAGCUUGGGUUUCUCCUUUGUCCUCUCAGAUUUGGGUUUCGACGAAGGUUGUAAUCGGUGGUUACGACGGCGGCUAAUUUUUACUUGUGGUCUGGCUCUCUUCCUUUGGGUAGGGUUGCAACGGUACCCUAGUGGUUAGGCGUUAGUGGUUUGGUAAUUGCUCUUUGCUUUUUCGUUAGCCUUGUUCUCUUCGAUUCUCUUUUGGGUUCCUGUUGAUUUGCCUUCAUUGUUGGUGGGUUGGUGGGUGUGCUGGAAUCAAUUCUAUAUUCAGUCUUUUGUGGUUUAGCAUCUUCUUCUUUUGCCUAGUCUCUGUCCUGCCGAGUUCGCUUGUUGUUCGAUCCUGUUCGUGCUCUUGCCGUUUCCAGUCUUCGGUUUGAUGCGGAUUGUUUGGACUCAGUCCUUGUCUCUACGGUAUAGACCUGAUCGAGGUCUCUCUAUUGCAUUGGUAUCUUUCUUGGCGUGGACAAUUCGUGGUUAUAUCUUAUGCUUCGAAUUCGCCGUUUCCAGAAGUUGGGUGUGGUUUCUAGUUGUCUUCCCUUCUUGCUGGUAAAGAUGCUUUAGUUCUCUUUAUUUGUGAGGUAGUCUUCAUUGUUAAAGGAGGAGUCGUUGUCCGGUGUCGUGGAUUUACUCGUCACCAUCGGUCAGCCACUAUGUCAAGCGUUUCUCGCUGUUUGGAUUGUUGGUAGGCAAUUUGUGCAUUUUGUGUGGUGCUAGAUUCUGAGUUAGAGGUUUGAUUUUCUCUACAUUUGUUUCCUUAGCCUUCUGUGUUUUGGCAUUGGUUUUUCUUUCGUAGUGUUGUUGCUUAGUUCCUGUCUCUUUGGGCUUAGUUUCGAGUUUUAGUUGUUCGCCAGCUUUGUUUCCCUCGUUUGGGCCUUUGGCUUGUUGUAAGGUUUCAUUUCAAUUUUAAUCAAAAUUUCUAGACGACAAAAAAAAAAAAAAA